GGAGGGGUGGCCGAGUGGACGAAGGCGGUGGUCUUGAAAACCACUGUGCGGCAACGCACCGGGGGUUCGAAUCCCUCCCCCUCCG
This 85-nucleotide transfer RNA is filed under the name Planctomycetales bacterium 4484_113. Its description in RNAcentral is "tRNA-Ser". It matches the Rfam family "tRNA". From Rfam's summary of the family: Transfer RNA (tRNA) molecules are approximately 80 nucleotides in length. Their secondary structure includes four short double-helical elements and three loops (D, anti-codon, and T loops). Further hydrogen bonds mediate the characteristic L-shaped molecular structure. tRNAs have two regions of fundamental functional importance: the anti-codon, which is responsible for specific mRNA codon recognition, and the 3' end, to which the tRNAs corresponding amino acid is attached (by aminoacyl-tRNA synthetases). tRNAs cope with the degeneracy of the genetic code in two manners: having more than one tRNA (with a specific anti-codon) for a particular amino acid; and 'wobble' base-pairing, i.e. permitting non-standard base-pairing at the 3rd anti-codon position. Lineage: Bacteria; Pseudomonadati; Planctomycetota; Planctomycetia; Planctomycetales. RNAcentral also lists the same sequence under 1 other name. The record is from RNAcentral.